AGCCCCGUGGUGUAGAGGCUAUCAUAUGAGGCUUUGACCCUCACGACUCCAGUUCGAAUCUGGACGGGGCUGCCA
Molecule: transfer RNA, 75 nt
Filed under: Candidatus Heimdallarchaeota archaeon B3_Heim
Lineage: Archaea; Promethearchaeati; Candidatus Heimdallarchaeota
Also listed under: 2 other names
Description: Candidatus Heimdallarchaeota archaeon B3-JM-08 tRNA-Gln
Rfam family: tRNA
About the family: Transfer RNA (tRNA) molecules are approximately 80 nucleotides in length.
Source: RNAcentral